UAGAAUACAACAUGUAAUACCAACUUAUACAUAAAACAUAUGGGCCUCUAAGACCAAAAUAACCACUCGUAUACUGAACAUAUGUCGAAAAGGCCAUACAAUCUUUGACAUACAUGACAUCUGUCUAUAAGCCUCUAAGGAUACAUAAUUAUCCUAAAGGUCAGGACAGAGCCCUACCAUACAAAACAAUACACAUCUAAAUCAUAAUGACCAAACAAGCAACUCAAGAGAAAAUUGAGUGCACCAACAUCUUCCGCUAAGCUGAUCGCCUACUUGGAGAAAUCUCGACCUUUCUAUCGAGACCUGCGGGCAUGAAAUGCAGUAUCGCCAGGAAAAAGGGACGUCAGUACAAAUAAUGUACCGAGUAUGUAAGGCACACAAAAAGGUACAUAAAAGACAUGAAACAAAUAUAGAAAAAUAGACUCAACCUGUAUGUCUGGAUAACUUUGUAAAUUAUGAAAUACUUUUAGCGUCAUGCAUAUACAUAUAAAUUUAAUGUUGUGCAUAAUUAUAUGUGUUCAUAACAUCAUCAAGCCUCUGAGGGCAUCCCAACAUAUCAUCUCGGCCAUAGUGGGCAAAAUCUUCAACUUAUACAAGCUGAUCGGGUGGUGGUUUGUACAUAACGCCACAAUCUUUCCCAUAUCCUAUAUAUAUAUAUAUAUACACACACACAUACAUGCAUAUAUAAGGCCAUAUUAUCAUGGGUCAAUGUGCAUGUUUAAAUGCAUUAAAUGCAUAUGAAAUACGUCAAUAAAAUCUCUCGGUACGUCAUAAGAUUAUUAUGUCUCUGGUUAAUAUCAUGAAAUACACUUUACCAACUUAUGUAUUUUUCUGAAACCUAUGAACAAAUGAUAGAAUAUUAUGACACAUGGGGAAUCAAUAACAUAAGCAUCUCUAGUGUUUCUAUGAAUAGAGUCAUUUAUUGAAGUUGUGCAUUUUCUCAUUUUGUUUGUAUCAUAUGGAUCAUGCCAAAAGGAAAGAAGGGAUAGUCUUAACAUACCUGAAUCAAUUCUUG
RNAcentral lists this long non-coding RNA (1015 nucleotides) under Nicotiana tabacum (common tobacco). RNAcentral's name for it is "long non-coding RNA (NTAB_LNC000079)". The record is from RNAcentral. Lineage: Eukaryota; Viridiplantae; Streptophyta; Magnoliopsida; Solanales; Solanaceae.